UAUACAUCUUCAAGUGAGGCCUAUAGCUCAGAUAACCAGGGAACAAGAAUUACUCAAGAGCUAUCUGAAACGACAUAUGAUGAGAUACAUGAAAUAGUUACUGAGGUAUCAAAUACAGACGAUGGUAGUACAAGUGAAACUUUAUCAACUGAUAUAGAAGUAGAUAUAGUGAUUGGAGAACAGAAAGGCGAACGAUGGUUUAACAACUGGAUCUAUAUUACUGUUGCUAUUUUACUAUUGAGCACAUUUGCAAUGCUACUACUACUAUUAAUUUUGAAAAGGAAAGACCUUAACAGUUUUUUCAGUAACGGCAGCUAUGAAAUCAAUGAAGACCGUGCUAAUAAUUGUGAUAAAGAAUGUACUAAGACAAUCCCUGAAUUGAAAUAUUCGGUUUUAAAAAAGAAAAGACAGCAAAAAGACCUGGAUCUCGUCUGUUAAAACAUCAAUAUAUAAUAUUUAUUUAU
This is a long non-coding RNA of Leptidea sinapis, 464 nucleotides long. RefSeq lists it as uncharacterized. The transcript has 3 exons. The record is from RefSeq and is a predicted model, not a curated record. Lineage: Eukaryota; Metazoa; Arthropoda; Insecta; Lepidoptera; Pieridae.